Molecule: non-coding RNA, 2707 nt
Organism: Heterocephalus glaber (naked mole-rat)
Lineage: Eukaryota; Metazoa; Chordata; Mammalia; Rodentia; Bathyergidae
Source: RefSeq, a predicted model, not a curated record
GCUUUUGGUGCACCAACCCUGCUAGCGAUACAAUAUUCACAUCGCUCUGGGGUAAAAACUCAAAAUUCAUUCUGUGUAAAUUUUCACAGUGACUAUCAACACGUCUGGUAUAUAGUUAUACUCUUCAGAAAUACACAGUUCAUGUAUUCUGUCACUAUUUUAUGUGUUGACCUACAGACACUUCCUAAAAUGGCAUUUUCUUUUUAUUUAGUGUUUAAUAACAGACCCACAUGAAACAAACAUUUCUAAAGACAUUUAAAGAGGCAAGUCAUGCACGACUUCCCAAGAGGCAGAUGACCCAUGGUUACCUCUUUUAUUUUUUAAUUUCCACGUGAAUGUUAUCAUGACCUUUCCUGGAGAGAGAAGUCUGGAGUUCCCACUCUUUCUGUGUCUUUGUGAUGCUGUGUGGAGUCAUGUUUGCGGCAGGAUAAAUCAGCACUGGCCUCGUUAUGCCCUUACUGUCCACAGGGCAGUGGGGAUUCUUUUCAUUCCAGCUAGAAAUUUAUCUUCUGGCUUUGUGAAUCCUCUUCAUCUCCCUGCCCAUCCAUCAUGGUGGAAUGCUCCAUCGACGAGCCCUGAUGCAGGAGGUCAGAUGGGACACCUGUUGGACAUACCUCUUCUGUCAAAAAAUAACUAGGGAGAAACUAAUUGAAAGAAGGCAGAUGGCAACCCCUUCCUAAUUAUAGAGUAGGGCCAUCUUGGCUUCAGAUGUGGAGUUCAAGCUAAGUCUAUUUGGAAGUGAAGCAAUAUUUUUAAACAGGAAGGUUUGUGCUUAUGUGUUAGAUACAGUUCACAUGUUCUAUUAGGGUUCAGGAUUGUGGGCUGCCAAGGAGAUGUGAAGCCCAAAUAACUUGUAAGAGCCCAAAAUAAUUUGACUUUGCAUCAUGGGAAGUGUCAUUCUCAAAAUAAAAUCUUCUCAGCCAUGAUGUCAUUUAAUUACUAAUUAAAGCAAUUAUACCCUCAUCUUGCAAUGUUCUAAAGACGUUAUUAUUGGAACCCUAAAGCUGAUGGAAUUCCGUGGAUUACUCUGGUGACAGCAUGUUCUGGUGGAUACUCAAAUUUGCCGUCAGAGACAGAGGGCCGUCAACAAUGGCGGAUUCCCCUGGGGUGGCUGAGGCGGGUGUGUCCGCUGCCUGUCUGCUGUGGACAACAGAAAAGCACUCCCUGCCUCUCCUCCAGCCCCUUCCCCCAUUCUUAGCCUCACUCUUCCUUCACACUCAGGGUAUUUUCUAAUAUUCAUACUUGAGAUUUGAUUAUUAAUUUAACUCUCUGGCUUUUAGGAAACUCAGCCAAAUUUGGGGUUUGUGGGUAGUGAUUCUUUCACAUCGGCUUCCCUCGCUGGAUUAAGAUGGUGUUUCUUCUGCUGUGAUCUUCAAUGGCAGCUCCUGGGGACACCAGGGCCAGCUAGGACUUGGCCUUUAUUCUCCAAAGGAGUGAAGCAGGGGAAGUUUGGAGGAAGAGCGGGCUUCCAGGGAGAGAUCUAGAAGAUAGAAGCCAUUCUGCAGUGGGUGGUGCUGAUGGAUGUCCCCCAAGUACCUCAAGAUCUUCUCUUGGACGUGCUCUCCCCUCCACCCACCCUUCAGGAUCACAAAUGAAGGCAACCACCAGCUCCUCACAGAGGGGCGCCGACUGUCUCGCCAAUGAACCCUGGCUGGGCUGGACUGGGGUGGAAACUAGAAUAAUGUGUGGUUUUAUUACCAACCUCUGCAAUGGGAGAUAAGGUUCACGGACUGCAUUCGCCUGGGUCUAUUUCUGAAGUCUGUUCUGCUCCAUUGGUCCAUAUGUCCAUCUAUCCCCCGAUAACCACUCUGUCUUCACAACUGUUACAUUACAGUACCUCUUGAAAUCAGCUGCAAUUAUAGGAAAUCAUCAUUUGCAGGUGGAAAGAACAUUUUGUAAAGUUCAUUUACUAAGCCGUCUGGUAAGAACAGUCCUGGCCAAAAAGGGAACUCCACAAGGAAUUACUACCCUUUGGUAAUCCUCCCCACCUGUGUACCCUCCAACUCCACCAUUUCAAAGGGCAUCUUUGGAAUUUCAUCUUCGCCAUCCUGACCCUUUUAUUUACUCACAGGGGACUUUCCAAAUUCCAAGUCUUUUACUUUUAAACUGGUUCUUUGAUCUUAGUGGUUUCACAUUCUGAAUUUAGCCACUGAUUUGGGAAAAGUCGGGAAAUUCACAGAAUCAUCAAGAGUCAGAACUUCCCAAUACAGGGGACCUUAGUCGUGUAUCCAUCCCGGUGUUUUCUUCCCAGGGGACAGUUGGCAAUGACCGGAGACAUUCCAUUCAUUGCUAGGAGGGGGUUCUCCUGUCAUCUUGCGGAGGGAAGUAAAACAUCCUAUGAGGCAAAAAGAUCAAUUCAUAGUGGUAGAGCUCAGGUGGUGGUUGUCAGAGGUGGAUGGGUUGGGGUGGAGGCUGCUGGUUACACUUCAGCUGGACAGGAAGAGCAAGUGUUGAUCCCUGCUGUACAGCGUCAGCCCAGGAGACUACAGUCAGUAAUGACAGGCACUUCCAGCGAUCUAAGAGUAAAUCUCAAAUGUCUCAGCACCAAAACUGAUGAGUGAGGUAAUGGAUGUGUCCACUAGCUUCAUUUAAUCAUUCCACAUUUACACAUACAGCAAAACACCACUUCUACCCCAUAAAUACAUAGUCAUUUCUUGUCUAAUACAAAUACUGUAAUAUCAGUCAUAAAGUAACAUGAAACACACCC